This 497-nucleotide ribosomal RNA is filed under the name uncultured bacterium. RNAcentral describes it as "partial 16S ribosomal RNA". It matches the Rfam family "Bacterial small subunit ribosomal RNA", at positions 28 to 507 of the family's 1533-position model. The record is from RNAcentral.
GAUGAACGCUGGCGGCGUGCCUAAUACAUGCAAGUCGAGCGAACGGACGAGAAGCUUGCUUCUCUGAUGUUAGCGGCGGACGGGUGAGUAACACGUGGAUAACCUACCUAUAAGACUGGGAUAACUUCGGGAAACCGGGGCUAAUACCGGAUAAUAUUUUGAACCGCAUGGUUCAAAAGUGAAAGACGGUCUUGCUGUCACUUAUAGAUGGAUCCGCGCUGCAUUAGCUAGUUGGUAAGGUAACGGCUUACCAAGGCAACGAUGCAUAGCCGACCUGAGAGGGUGAUCGGCCACACUGGAACUGAGACACGGUCCAGACGCCUACGGGAGGCAGCAGUAGGGAAUCUUCCGCAAUGGGCGAAAGCAUGACGGAGCAACGCCGCGUGAGUGAUGAAGGUCUUCGGAUCGUAAAACUCUGUUAUUAGGGAAGAACAUAUGUGUAAGUAACUGUGCACAUCUUGACGGUACCUAAUCAGAAAGCCACGGCUAACUACGUG